UACGUAGGGUGCGAGCGUUAAUCGGAAUUACUGGGCGUAAAGCGUGCGCAGGCGGUCUUUUAAGUCAGAUGUGAAAUCCCCGGGCUUAACCUGGGAACUGCGUUUGAAACUGGAAGGCUAGAGUGUGGCAGAGGGGGGUGGAAUUCCACGUGUAGCAGUGAAAUGCGUAGAGAUGUGGAGGAACACCGAUGGCGAAGGCAGCCCCCUGGGCUAACACUGACGCUCAUGCACGAAAGCGUGGGGAGCAAACAGG
RNAcentral lists this ribosomal RNA (253 nucleotides) under uncultured bacterium. RNAcentral describes it as "partial 16S ribosomal RNA". It matches the Rfam family "Bacterial small subunit ribosomal RNA", at positions 524 to 776 of the family's 1533-position model. The record is from RNAcentral.